This 253-nucleotide ribosomal RNA is filed under the name uncultured bacterium. RNAcentral describes it as "partial 16S ribosomal RNA". It matches the Rfam family "Bacterial small subunit ribosomal RNA", at positions 524 to 776 of the family's 1533-position model. The record is from RNAcentral.
UACGUAGGGGGCAAGCGUUGUCCGGAAUCAUUGGGCGUAAAGAGCGCGUAGGCGGUCCGGUAAGUCAGCUGUGAAAGUCAAGGGCUCAACCCUUGAAAGCCGGUUGAUACUGUCGGGCUAGAGUCCGGAAGAGGCGAGUGGAAUUCCUGGUGUAGCGGUGAAAUGCGUAGAUAUCAGGAGGAACACCGGUGGCGAAGGCGGCUCUCUGGACCACAACUGACGCUGAGGCGCGAAAGCUAGGGGAGCAAACAGG